CGAACGCUGGCGGCGUGCCUAAUACAUGCAAGUAGAACGCUGAAGAGAGGAGCUUGCUCUUCUUGGAUGAGUUGCGAACGGGUGAGUAACGCGUAGGUAACCUGCCUUGUAGCGGGGGAUAACUAUUGGAAACGAUAGCUAAUACCGCAUAACAAUGGAUGACACAUGUCAUUUAUUUGAAAGGGGCAAUUGUUCCACUACAAGAUGGACCUGCGUUGUAUUAGCUAGUAGGUGAGGUAAUGGCUCACCUAGGCGACGAUACAUAGCCGACCUGAGAGGGUGAUCGGCCACACUGGGACUGAGACACGGCCCAGACUCCUACGGGAGGCAGCAGUAGGGAAUCUUCGGCAAUGGGGGCAACCCUGACCGAGCAACGCCGCGUGAGUGAAGAAGGUUUUCGGAUCGUAAAGCUCUGUUGUAAGUCAAGAACGGGUGUGAGAGUGGAAAGUUCACACUAUGACGGUAGCUUACCAGAAAGGGACGGCUAACUACGUGCCAGCAGCCGCGGUAAUACGUAGGUCCCGAGCGUUGUCCGGAUUUAUUGGGCGUAAAGCGAGCGCAGGCGGUUUGAUAAGUCUGAAGUUAAAGGCUGUGGCUCAACCAUAGUUCGCUUUGGAAACUGUCAAACUUGAGUGCAGAAGGGGAGAGUGGAAUUCCAUGUGUAGCGGUGAAAUGCGUAGAUAUAUGGAGGAACACCGGUGGCGAAAGCGGCUCUCUGGUCUGUAACUGACGCUGAGGCUCGAAAGCGUGGGGAGCGAACAGGAUUAGAUACCCUGGUAGUCCACGCCGUAAACGAUGAGUGCUAGGUGUUGGAUCCUUUCCGGGAUUCAGUGCCGCAGCUAACGCAUUAAGCACUCCGCCUGGGGAGUACGACCGCAAGGUUGAAACUCAAAGGAAUUGACGGGGGCCCGCACAAGCGGUGGAGCAUGUGGUUUAAUUCGAAGCAACGCGAAGAACCUUACCAGGUCUUGACAUCCCGAUGCUAUUUCUAGAGAUAGAAAGUUACUUCGGUACAUCGGUGACAGGUGGUGCAUGGUUGUCGUCAGCUCGUGUCGUGAGAUGUUGGGUUAAGUCCCGCAACGAGCGCAACCCCUAUUGUUAGUUGCCAUCAUUCAGUUGGGCACUCUAGCGAGACUGCCGGUAAUAAACCGGAGGAAGGUGGGGAUGACGUCAAAUCAUCAUGCCCCUUAUGACCUGGGCUACACACGUGCUACAAUGGUUGGUACAACGAGUUGCGAGUCGGUGACGGCGAGCUAAUCUCUUAAAGCCAAUCUCAGUUCGGAUUGUAGGCUGCAACUCGCCUACAUGAAGUCGGAAUCGCUAGUAAUCGCGGAUCAGCACGCCGCGGUGAAUACGUUCCCGGGCCUUGUACACACCGCCCGUCACACCACGAGAGUUUGUAACACCCGAAGUCGGUGAGGUAACCUUUUGGAGCCAGCCGCCUAAGGUGGGACAGAUGA
This 1460-nucleotide ribosomal RNA is filed under the name uncultured organism. Its description in RNAcentral is "16S ribosomal RNA". It matches the Rfam family "Bacterial small subunit ribosomal RNA". The record is from RNAcentral.